RNAcentral lists this ribosomal RNA (1487 nucleotides) under Candidatus Daviesbacteria bacterium GW2011_GWC1_40_9. RNAcentral describes it as "bacterial SSU rRNA". It matches the Rfam family "Bacterial small subunit ribosomal RNA". Lineage: Bacteria; Candidatus Daviesiibacteriota. The record is from RNAcentral.
AUUGAGAGUUUGAUCCUGGCUCAGGAUGAACGCUGGCGGCGUGCCUUAAGCAUGCAAGUCGAACGGGCCCGCAAGGGUCAGUGGCGGACGGUUGAGUAAUAGGCGGGAAUCUACCUCGAAGUGGGACAUAGCCAGCCGAAAGGUUGGGUAAUUUCCCAUGUGAUCGCAAGAUCAAAGCCGCAAGGCGCUUUGAGAUGAGCCUGCCUCCUAUCAGCUUGUUGGUGGGGUAAUGGCCUACCAAGGCAACGACGGGUAGCUGGUCUGAGAGGAUGGUCAGCCAGAGUGGGACUGCGACACGGCCCACACACCUACGGGUGGCAGCAACUAGGAAUCUUGGGCAAUGGGCGAAAGCCUGACCCAGCGACGCCGCGUGGAGGAUUGACGGCCUUCGGGUUGUAAACUCCUUUUAUCUGGGAAGAUUAUGACGGUACCAGAUGAAUAAGCACCUGCUAACUACGUGCCAGAAGCCUCGGUAAUACGUAGGGUGCAAGCGUUAUCCGGAUUUAUUGGGCGUAAAGAGUAGCGUAGGCGGUCCGAUGCAUUUUGCUUGAAAGCCCAUGGCUUAACCAUGGUUUUGGGCAAAAUAUGAUCGGACUUGAAGGUACAAUAGGGUGUUGGAACCGAUCGUGGAGCGGUGAAAUGCGUUGAUAUGAUCGGGAACGCCAAAGGUGUAGACAGACACCUGGUGUAUUCUUGACGCUUAGGCACGAAAGCUUGGGGAGCGAAGCAGAUUAGAGACCUGCGUAGUCCAAGCCGUAAACAAUGUCCGCUAGUUAUUGGCCUUUUUGGUCAGUGACGAAGUUAACACGUUAAGCGGACCGCCUGGGGAGUACGAGCGCAAGCUUAAAACUCAAAGGAAUUGACGGGGAGGCGCACAAGCAGUGGAGCGUGUGGUUUAAUUCGAUACCAAGCGAAGAACCUCACCAGGGCUUGACAUGCUAGAGUUCUAUCCCGCCGAAAGGCGGGAAAUCCGCAAGGAGGCUAGCACAGAUGCUGCAUGGCUGUCGUCAGCUCGUGGCGUGGGGUCUGAAAAAAGGCCCGCUGUAUCAUUAAGUUGAGUAACGAGCGCAACCCCCACCGUAUGUUGCAUUGUUCAUACGGAACAGGUCCGAUAUUAUUGGACAGGAAGGCGGGGAUGACGUCAAGUCAGCACGGCUCUUACGCCCUGGGCAACACACACCCUACAAUGGCGAAUAACAACGAGUUGCAAGCCGGUAACGGCAAGCUAAUCUCUGAAAUUUCGCCCCAGUUCAGAUCGAGGUCUGAAACCCGACCUCGUGAAGUCGGAAUUGCUAGUAAUCGCGAAUCAGCAGGUCGCGGUGAAUACGUUCUCGCCUCUUGUACACACGUCCUAUAGCCCGCCCGUCACGGCAGCAAAGUUGGGGGCACCCGAAGUCUGAUGUAUGUCGGACGAAGGUGAAACCAGCGAUGAGGCUGAAGUCGUAACAAGGUAUCCCUAGCCGAAGCUGGGGAUGGAUCACCUCCUU